AGCAAAGAAACCCUGCUACUGGAAUUAAUCUGCAAAGCUUUGACCUCUGUCAGCUGUUGGCUUUUGACUCCCACUCCUCUGUCUUGCCCUCUCCAAGGCAACGUUAGACUGGAGAACACNGGGGCACAAACCUCCAGUAGUGCCCCCCCAUCCCGAUAAAAGCCUGGGCCUGUUUCUUAUCAUGCAUGGGGUAUAUGUGGGUAUUACACCAAUUAGUCCAGCCGUGCUGCUCAGUGCAGAGGUGGACAGCCAAGCUGUGUCUAUAGACCUGGUGCCCCCCAGGGCCAGCUCUAGCCAUUUCGCCGCCCCAAGCAUGGCGGCAUGCCGCAGGGGGCGCUCUGCCGCUCGCCAGUCCCGCGGCUCCGGUGGACCUCCCGCAGGCGUCCCGCUGGGUCCUGGAGCCGGCCCUGGUGCCCACCGUCCAGAGUAAAGUGGACAUGUCCAUGGAUUGGCUGCAGCAGGAUCUCAGGUGGCUCUCCGACUGGUGGGACCGGGAGCAGGGCACUGAGCAGAUCAAACCCACCUGGAAUAUCAUGGAGAUUUACAGAACUGGGACUGAUCUGAUGGCCAAGAAUCUGUAUUGGAGGCUCACUUACUCUCUGGCUGAGACCCGACUCCUCAGGGACAUUGACCUCGAUGGUGCUGGCGGGAGGCGCUGCAGCUGCUGAAGCAAAUCAACAUGGAGAAGUGGAGGCCGCGGUAUGGCAAAGUCCUGACCUCCUACCACCUGAAGAUGGUCCUGUUUUGGGCUUCUGACCUCAACCCACAGACAAAGCACUGGGCCACGUUGCCGGAUGCUCUGGGGACCCUGCUGAAGGUGUUGGAGUUCUGUCUGGAGAAGAGACACCUGCCCAGCUACUUCCUGCGUUCGAUUAAUUUCUUCGACUGGCACCGCAGUGAGGAAGAAUUCCCUGAAGAACCUGGUGCUGAAAGUGGUCAGAUUGGAGGUGAGGCUGAUGAGAUGCAGCCCAGAGUAGUACCUCCAGCUGAGCUAUGACCUGGCCAAACCCCAAGGCCUGGGACCCUUCAUCCAACAGGCGCAGGAGCUCGACGAGUUUAGAAGGGAGCAUCAGAAAGACUUUGAAGAGUUCAAUACCCUGAAGGAAGAAAAACAGCCGGUACAGGGAGCUGCAAGUAUCUUCUUCACCCAACACAGACACUUGGGCUCGUGUCUGCAGUUAAAUAUUCUACACCAGGGGUUCUCAAACUGGGGGUCGGGACCCCUCAAGAGGCCGUGAGGUUAUGACAUGG
This 1251-nucleotide long non-coding RNA is filed under the name Gopherus agassizii (Agassiz's desert tortoise). RNAcentral's name for it is "lncRNA (ENSGAGG00000007208.1)". Lineage: Eukaryota; Metazoa; Chordata; Testudines; Testudinidae. The record is from RNAcentral.